Molecule: small nuclear RNA, 158 nt
Filed under: Medicago truncatula (barrel medic)
Lineage: Eukaryota; Viridiplantae; Streptophyta; Magnoliopsida; Fabales; Fabaceae
Description: sRNA gene27339
Rfam family: U2 spliceosomal RNA
About the family: U2 is a small nuclear RNA (snRNA) component of the spliceosome (involved in pre-mRNA splicing). Complementary binding between U2 snRNA (in an area lying towards the 5' end but 3' to hairpin I) and the branchpoint sequence (BPS) of the intron results the bulging out of an unpaired adenosine, on the BPS, which initiates a nucleophilic attack at the intronic 5' splice site, thus starting the first of two transesterification reactions that mediate splicing.
Source: RNAcentral
AGCUCAUACCAUUCUAGGUUAGGAUCAAGUGUAAUAUAUGUUCUUAUUAGUUCAUAUCUAAUAUAUGGUUCAAUAGAUCACACGAUAUUAAAUUACUUUUUCGAAAGAAAGAUACCACUUUAGUAGCUUCCUACUAGGUUUCUUAUGUGUCACCCAAA